AGUGAACGCUGGCGGUAGGCCUAACACAUGCAAGUCGAACGGCAGCACAGUAAGAGCUUGCUCUUACGGGUGGCGAGUGGCGGACGGGUGAGGAAUACAUCGGAAUCUACUUUUUCGUGGGGGAUAACGUAGGGAAACUUACGCUAAUACCGCAUACGACCUACGGGUGAAAGCAGGGGAUCUUCGGACCUUGCGCGAUUGAAUGAGCCGAUGGCGGAUUAGCUAGUUGGCGGGGUAAAGGCCCACCAAGGCGACGAUCCGUAGCGGGUCUGAGAGGAUGAACCGCCACACUGGAACUGAGACACGGUCCAGACUCCUACGGGAGGCAGCAGUGGGGAAUAUUGGACAAUGGGCGCAAGCCUGAUCCAGCCAUACCGCGUGGGUGAAGAAGGCCUUCGGGUUGUAAAGCCCUUUUGUUGGGAAAGAAAAGCAGCAGGUUAAUACCCCGCUGUUCUGACGGUACCCAAAGAAUAAGCACCGGCUAACUUCGUG
RNAcentral lists this ribosomal RNA (492 nucleotides) under uncultured bacterium. Its description in RNAcentral is "partial 16S ribosomal RNA". It matches the Rfam family "Bacterial small subunit ribosomal RNA", at positions 29 to 507 of the family's 1533-position model. The record is from RNAcentral.